This 7610-nucleotide long non-coding RNA is filed under the name Salmo salar (Atlantic salmon). RNAcentral's name for it is "lncRNA (ENSSSAG00000081745.1)". Lineage: Eukaryota; Metazoa; Chordata; Actinopteri; Salmoniformes; Salmonidae. The record is from RNAcentral.
CAAGACGAUACUUGAAGGAGAAACUGAGUUGAAUAAUUUGGUAGACUGUAGAUUGAGCACAUCUAAGGGAAAUAAAUACAUUGUCAUGACGAUUUAAAUGGAUGGAUGUGUUCUAGACAAGUAUACCCAUACUAUAUAUUGGCUGAUUUUGGCGAUCUGGAGUGCAGAAACCCUACAGAGAGAGGACUGCAGGGAUCUGUGGUAAUAAACUUGGCUCAAGAUGCAGAAAGCAGAUGCCGGGGUUGAGAAGGGGCCAACACAUGCUGGAGAUCAUGGAGGGAACAGGACGGGGCUGUGGAUGAAGAGAGAGAGAAAUGUUUGCCUUUUGGAGCUCUGUGUGAACCUUCUCUGGGGUUAUUGAUGGGCCCCGCCUCCUCCCCCGGCUCCAUAAAUCUCAGAGAAAUGACCCCUGCCUGGUGGAGGGCCAGACACUCUGCAAUCGGGCCCGAGCCUGAUGACAGCUUUAGCUGCUGCUGAAGUGGACAGCUCCAGUUUCUGUUUAGCCAUAUAUAGACUGGCCUCACUAAAACAUGUCCUCGCUGGCCACCUAAAGAGUCAACCUUAUGAUCAUGACAAAUAACAGAUUUCCCUGUCUGAUGUAGAUUAAAUGGUAAUCACUGUCUGGUUUAAGCAUAUUACCAUGGGCCUGAAUGUGUUGAUGCUGUUUGUUUGAGAACUUAGCUCCAGUGCUGACUCAAUGUCCUACCUACUCCAUACUAUGACCAUGCAGACAUUCAUUCACCAUAGAUUUUUAACUGGUGGCCAUAGUAUCGACAGUAAAGCAAACAGUGACUUCGGAUAGUAUUCAGACCCCUUCACUUCUUCCACAUUUUGUUACGUUACAGCCUUAUUCUAAAAUUGAUUAAAUAGAAAAAAUCCUCAGCAAUCUAUACACAAAAACCCAUAAUGACAAAGUGAAAACAGGUUUUUAGAAUUUUCUGCAAAUGUAAAAAAAAAAAAAAAAACAGAAAUAGCUUAUUUACAUAACUAUUCAGACCCUUCGCUAUGAGACUCGAAAUUGAGCUCAUGUGCAUCCUGUUUCCAUUGAUCAUCCUUGAGAUGUUUCUAGAACUUGAUUGGAGUCCACCUGUGGUAAAUGCAAUUGAUUGUACAGUACAUGAUCUGGAAAGGCACACACCUGUCUAUAUAAGGUCCCACAGUUGACAGUGCAUGUCAGAGCAAAAACCAAACCAUGAGGUCCAAGGAAUUGUCCGUAGAUGUUCGAGACAGGAUUGUGUCGAGGCACAGAUCUGGGGAGGGGUACCAAAACAUUUCUGCAGCAUUGAAGGUCCCCAAGAACACAGUGGCCUGCAUCUUUCUUAAAUGGAAGAAGUUUGGAACCACCAAGGCUCUUCCUAGAGCUGGCCGCCCGGUCAAAGUGAGCAAUCUGGGGAGAAGGGCCUUGGUCAGGGAGGUGACCAAGAACCUGAUGGUCACUCUGAAAGAGCUCUAGAGUUCCUUUGUGGAGAUGGGAGAACCUUCCAAAUGGCAGCCAAAGACUCUCAGACCAUCAGAAACAAGAUUCUCUGGUCUGAUGAAACCAAGAUUGAACACUUUGGCCUGAAUGCCAAGCGUCACGUCUGGCGGAAACCUGGCACCAUUCCUACAGUGAAGCAUGGUGGUGGCAUCAUCAUGCUGUGGGGAUUUUUGUCAGUGGCAGGGACUGGGUGACUAGUCAGGAUUGAGGGAAAGAUGAACAGAGCAAAGUAUAGAGAGAUCCAUGAUGAAAACCUGCUCCAGAUCACUCAGGACCUCAGGCUGGGGUGAAGGUUCACCUGAAGCACACAGCCAAGACAACGCAGGAGUGGCUUCGGAACAAGUCUCUGAAUGUCCUUGAGUGGCCCAGCCAGAGCUGAAAAUAGCUGCGCAGCAACGCUCCCCAUCCAACCUGACAGAGCUUGAGAGGAUCUGCAGAGAAAAAUGGGAGAAUCUCCCCAAAUACAGGUGUGCCAAGCUUGUAGCAUCAUACCCAAGAAGACUCGAUGCUGUAAUCACUGCCAAAGGUGCUUCAACAAAGUACUGAGUAAAGUGUCUGAAUACUUAUGUAUAUUCUUUAUAAAUAAGCAAUAAAUUCUAAAAAACUGUUUUUGCUUUGUCAUUAUGGGGUAUUGUGUGUAGAUUGAUGAGGGCAUUUAUUUAUUUUUUACCAAUUUUAGAAUAAAGCUGUGGAAAAAGUCAAGGGGUCUGAAGGAACUGUAUGUCUAUAAAAGUGCCCUAGAAGCCAUUCUGUUAUCUGGUUAUACUGUAUGUAGGCUACAGUAGUUUUUUAUUUUAUUUACUUAACCUUGAAUUAUCUUUUCUAAGUUUGACUAGUUCAUUGUAUUGUUGACUUGGGUCAUAGAUACAUCAGGACGCUUUGAUGUCAGUGUUUAUUAAUGCUGCUUUCUAUGCAGCAAUUGCACUCGAGUGAACACUAUUGUUGCUAUCACUGCACACAUUGAGACUCGAGAUGGUAUUUGAGUCUCUUGUACAGAAAACUAUGUGCAUACGUGUGUGCGAAUGUGUGCGUGUAUGCAUGUGUAAGCAUAAUGUGUGUCCAUGUCAGUGUAAAAAAGCAAAGCCAGUCGUAAGUACUGAGCAGUGUAGGAUGGAGCGUUGAGUGAGUCUGCUAGCUCCUUCAGUCAGUCUGCAGUAGGAUGGAGCAGUGAGUGAGUCUGCUAGCUCCUUCAGUCAGUCUGCAGUAGGAUGGAGCAGUGAGUCUGCUAGCUCCUUCAGUCAGUCAGUCUGCAGUAGGAUGGAGCAGUGAGUGAGUCUGCUAGCUCCUUUAGUCAGUCUGCAGUAGGAUGGAGCAGUGAGUGAGUCUGCUAGCUCCUUCAGUCAGUCAGUCUGCAGUAGGAUGGAGCAGUGAGUGAGUCUGCUAGCUCCUUCAGUCAGUCAGUCUGCAGUAGGAUGGAGCAGUGAGUGAGUCUGCAGUAGGAUGGAGAAGUGAGUGAGUCUGCUAGCUCCUUCAGUCAGUCUGCAGUAGGAUGGAGCAGUGAGUGAGUCUGCUAGCUCCUUCAGUCAGUCUGCAGUAGGAUGGAGCAGUGAGUGAGUCUGCUAGCUCCUUCAGUCAGUCAGUCUGCAGUAGGAUGGAGCAGUGAGUGAGUCUGCUAGCUCCUUCAGUCAGUCAGUCUGCAGUAGGAUGGAGCAGUGAGUGAGUCUGCUAGCUCCUUCAGUCAGUCAGUCUGCAGUAGGAUGGAGCAGAAAGUGAGUCUGCAGAAGGAUGGAGAAGUGAGUGAGUCUGCUAGCUCCUUCAGUCAGUCAGUCUGCAGUAGGAUGGAGCAGUGAGUGAGUCUGCUAGCUCCUACAGUCAGUCAGUCUGCAGUAGGAUGGAGCAGUGAGUGAGUCUGCUAGCUCCUUCAGUCAGUCAGUCUGCAGUAGGAUGGAGCAGUGAGGGAGUCUGCUAGCUCCUUCAGUCAGUCAGUCUGCAGUAGGAUGGAGCAGUGAGUGAGUCUGCUAGCUCCUUCAGUCAGUCAGUCUGCAGUAGGAUGGAGCAGUGAGUGAGUCUGCUAGCUCCUUCAGUCAGUCAGUCUGCAGUAGGAUGGAGCAGUGAGUGAGUCUGCUAGCUCCUUCAGUCAGUCUGCAGUAGGAUGGAGCAGUGAGUGAGUCCACUCCUCCAUUCUGCAGUAGGAUGCUGUAAAAGUCAAACAGCCAAUCAGGCCCACAGAAGGAUCCUUACAGAGAUUCCCCAGCCAGGAGAAAGCAGUUAAAAGUUAUGUGGUCUGUGGGACCACUCUGAAUGGAAAGGCCUGAACAUGACAUGACGCUUGAACUCCCCUCCAUCCGCCCCGCCAGGUCCUAUGACAUGUGUCUAAAGGGCGAGAGCUGGGGGUUCACGUCUGUCACAUAUCUAGCUUGAACUUGAGCUUUUAUAUUGUUCUCUCAUGUCUUGAAUCACCUUAGUUGAUUGGUUGGGACAUUUUGGAUUUACAUUUAUAUCUAAAUCCAGUGGAGGAUAAAUGCAAGGGAUUUUGAGAGUGAGAUAUUGUUGGAUUGCGGGACAGUUGCAUGAUAUUGCACCUCCCUCCUUCUCUCUCUCUUCAGGCAGAUAAUGAGUAGCCUACAUGUCUUCAGCUGGUUGAAAGGUCAGCCGAGAGAUCUUCCGCUGAAGUCUGCGAUUCUACCAUCAUUGUAAUCAUAGCCAAAUAGAAAUGUAAACAUUAGCAUUUUGGCCUCACUUUAUGUCUACGUCCGUAACUUUGUUAAGGAGAAAUACAGAGAUGGUUUCACUGCUUUUAAGGACUUUGAAUAAUAGUAAAAUGCAAAGCAUUCAAACUGAAUCGAUCAAAAAGUGUUAGCAUUAUUUUGUGAUAAAAUAAUACAAUUUUCACAAACACAAGAAAUGUUAUCUACAAACAAAACAGUUACAACAAACACAGUCAACGACACAUAAUGUAAUACAAGAAGCUCCAGCCUUGAUAAAUAAAAAAAUGAAAAGACAAUGGAAUGUACAGAUUUAGUCAAGCCUCCCCACAAUCUCCCCAAAAAGUGUUAUCAUUAAAAAACCCAAAAAGAUGGAAAAAAUAUUAUUUUACAUCCUACAUGUAAAUGUGUUGUACUACACAUCUACAAAUCUUCUGUCAUGUAACAUACUUUUCAUAACCACAAUUAAAUUGAAUCGAAUGGUGAAUUUAUCAUAAUUACUCUUGCUUGAUUAUAGUGAUAGAGUCUAUAAAGAGUCUAUAAAGAAAUUCCUCUUAUAGUUGCAUGGAGGGAGCUGUUGGUGUUGGAGCUGCAUCUCUCUGUCACUCUCUGACCCCUGCUGGACUGAUUGUUGACCUAUUAACCUCCAGGAGUUAGCAGUGUUUUAAUAGCUGUUCAUCCACCACUAUUUUGAAGUUUCACGUUUUACUGUCACGUACACAAGUACAAUGAAAUGCCUUUCUUGCAAGCUCCAAACCCAACAAAACAGUAAUCAUUAUCAAAGUAGCACUAAAAAUAACAUAAGGUAGAACAUGAACACAAAAGAAAUAAAAAAUAAGAAAUGAGAAGAACAUGAGAAAGUAAGAAUGUAUAUACAGCAUCAGUUCCAAUAGCAUAUUUACAAUGUGCAGGGAUACUGGAGUGAUAGAGGUAGAUAUGAAUGGGGAUGAGGUGACUAGGCAUCAGGAUAUACAGUAUGAUAAACAGAAUAGCAGCGGAAAUUAUGAUUGUACGUGAGUGUGUGUGUGUGUGUACAAGUGUAGACUCAGUAUAAAUGUGUGUGCAUGGUAUGUGUGUGUUGGAGUGUCAGUGUGUGUGAGUGUGUAGAGUCCUGUGAGUGUGCCAUUAUUCACAUAGUCUAUUAAGACAUGCCUCCAGUUCCACCAUGUUCUGUGUGUUUCCUAAUGAAGACAAAAAGAUGCUGUGUUAUUACUGUGUAAUCAGUGGACUUGCCACGUUAUUUUAAUCUUUAUUCUAAUCAUUUUAUUCAUCAUUUAUCUCUUUAUGUGAGUGAAACAUGAAAUAAACUUUAGAUUAUAUUUUUUUGAAACUACAUUAUACAAAAACAGAAUGUAAUUAUAAAGUUCUCUUUAAAUCAUCAAGGGGGUUAGUAAUGACUAGCCCUUUGAACAUAUGUACCCAUGCAAAAAAAAAGAGACAGAAACAAAACAAUACAAAAAACAAUUGAAAUGCUAAUUGAAGAGCGUGGUAGCUGUGAGGGGAGAAGAGAGCAUGGAGCCCUCAAGAGCAGCCUUCUCAAACUGGGGCUGUCAUCUCAUCUGCUGCAUGCAUUCGUGCUUUGUGUGUGCGCUUACGUGUGUGGGUAAAAUACAGACGUUUAAAACUAUACAUUAUUCCAAUUGUUUAACCAUACUGAAUGUUAAAGUUCAAAUUGUUUACUUUUUUAUCCUAUUCUUAUUUAGGACACAUUAUUACGUUUAAGACCGAAAUAAGUACUUUUUGAAAUCAUAAUUCUCUCUCUCCCUUUGCUACAUGCAUGUCCCUGAAUGGCUAUUCUAUUUCAGUGAGUACAUGUAUCUUUUUUUAAAUGUAACUUCAUAGGAGUUGUUUACUGAACAUGGUUAUGGUUCAUAUUGGACAUCAUGCAUCAUGCAUCACCUACGGGGUUUUGACUGACAGUGUCUUAUCAGUGAAUAAGGCAUAAUGUAAAUGAUAUAUAACCCCCUGUACUAAAACAUUUCAAAUGCACAGGCCCACCAGUGCUGAGUAGACAGAAAAUGUAAAUGCUAAUUAUUUAAUAAGCCUGUACCUCUCUAUCGCCCCCACCCCCCACUCCUGGCUGGCCACCUCCCACCUCCUGCCCCUCCCCCCUCCCACCCGCCUCUUUAAUCAUUAAGUAUGCAUUGAUUCAGCCUUCCCCUGCGUUAUAAAUACAGCAUCGAUCUGCAGGAGGAUCAAUAAACUCAUUCAAAUGCAUAGCCACUUUGAUAACGCUCCUGCUCACUGCCCUCUCUUUCAACAAGAUCUCAUAGUUUCACUGUGAAAUUUGACGUAUUAUGGAUGAACGUCAAUGUAUUACUAUUUUUUUAAAUUACGCAUGGUUGCGGGGUUAAUUCUGUGUGGUUACAAGUUUAGGUAUCAAUUCCGAGUGGUUAUGUAUCGGCAUGUAUUGGCGUUCUCAGGACCUUUUCAAACGUCCGAAAUCGAAGUCUAUUUCUAGUGAUCAGCCUGCUCUGCAUAGCAUCUCUUUCUCUCUCCCCUCUCUCUCUCCUUUCUCUCUCAUUCUGUGUCUCGUUCUCUAUCUCUCUCCGUACCCUCUCUCUGCCUCUUUCUCUCUCACUUUCUCUCACUCUCUCUUUCUUUCUAUCUCUCCCUCUUUCUCUGUCUGUCACAUAUACUCUUUAUCUUUUUACAUUACACACACCCAUAGUAUAGAUAUACAGCUAGAAAUGUUAGACUGUUCACACAAUAUGCAAUAUGUUUUUUACAUACCUGAUGUCAAUAUCAGAAAGGUCAAUUCAGUUGGAAACUGGGUCAAAUUUGAAUGGGUCACUCUCCUCCCCACUCAUAUUCAUUCAUUCAGGGACACCCUGGAUUAAAGUACCAGAGAAGGGAGACUAGACAGUUGAUGUGGCCAAUGUAUUCAAAACAGGAUAUCAUUUAUAACAGUGGGAGACUGCAGCAGCUUUAUGAUGACAAGAUUAUCUGUAUUGGGGCUUAUUGGGUUGUGAAUACAUUUCUAGGAGUGUGUUUAUGGUUACUUAACUAAGAAAUACUGCACAGCUAUAAAGUUAAAAAACGAUUGUAAUGAAAAUAAACUUGCUGCUGCCAAUAAGUUUAUUUUGUUGUCCUUUUAAUCAGGGUUGGUUAAAGUUAUUUGACAUUUCUCUGUUUGAGAUUACAUCCAGGUUGUUUAUGGUCUCUGGGUGAAAAUAAACACUGACCCUGGUCUUCCCAAUCAUUCCCAUCCUCUAAUGCUGCUACACUGGAGCAAGAGAUGUCUCCUAUAAAAAUCACCUGCUGUCCCCUUUACCCCUUACCCAAGCCCCCCUCCCCCUCUCAAUUUCUCUCUGUUCAGGUUCAGGACAAUUUAGUAAUAAGGGCUGCCGAGGAAGGUUGAGUGGACUGAUGAUCUUUACAGGGCCUUUUCUGGUGACUCACUAAAACCUGUCUUGUAAAAAUGAAGUCUGGGAAAUGGGAACUAGGUCUUGGGAAGAAUGGGAGCGAUGGAGGAACACAGGUCUGGG